CCUACGUGGGGCAGCAGUGAGGAAUAUUGGUCAAUGGGCGCGAGCCUGAACCAGCCAAGUAGCGUGAAGGAUGACUGCCCUACGGGUUGUAAACUUCUUUUAUAAAGGAAUAAAGUGAGGCACGUGUGCCUUUUUGUAUGUACUUUAUGAAUAAGGAUCGGCUAACUCCGUGCCAGCAGCCGCGGUAAUACGGAGGAUCCGAGCGUUAUCCGGAUUUAUUGGGUUUAAAGGGAGCGUAGAUGGGUUGUUAAGUCAGUUGUGAAAGUUUGCGGCUCAACCAUAAAAUUGCAAUUGAUACUGGCAGUCUUGAGUACAGUUGAGGUAGGCGGAAUUCGUGGUGUAGCGGUGAAAUGCUUAGAUAUCACGAAGAACUCCGAUUGCGAAGGCAGCUUACUAAACUGCCACUGACAUUGAUGCUCGAAAGUGUGGGUAUCAAACAGGAUUAGAUACCCCAGUAGUC
Molecule: ribosomal RNA, 460 nt
Filed under: uncultured bacterium
Lineage: Bacteria
Description: partial 16S ribosomal RNA
Rfam family: Bacterial small subunit ribosomal RNA
Source: RNAcentral